RNAcentral lists this ribosomal RNA (479 nucleotides) under uncultured bacterium. Its description in RNAcentral is "partial 16S ribosomal RNA". It matches the Rfam family "Bacterial small subunit ribosomal RNA", at positions 28 to 507 of the family's 1533-position model. The record is from RNAcentral.
GAUGAACGCUAGCGGGAGGCCUAACACAUGCCAGCCGAGCGGUAGAGAUUCUUCGGAAUCUUGAGAGCGGCGUACGGGUGCGGAACACGUGUGCAACCUGCCUUUAUCAGGGGGAUAGCCUUUCGAAAGGAAGAUUAAUACCCCAUAAUAUAUUUGAUGGCAUCAUUAGAUAUUGAAAGCUUUGGCGGAUAGAGAUGGGCACGCGCAAGAUUAGAUAGUUGGUGAGGUAACGGCUCACCAAGUCGAUGAUCUUUAGGGGGCCUGAGAGGGUGAUCCCCCACACUGGUACUGAGACACGGACCAGACUCCUACGGGAGGCAGCAGUGAGGAAUAUUGGACAAUGGGUUAGCGCCUGAUCCAGCCAUCCCGCGUGAAGGACGACGGCCCUAUGGGUUGUAAACUUCUUUUGUACAGGGAUAAACCUACUCUCGUGAGAGUAGCUGAAGGUACUGUACGAAUAAGCACCGGCUAACUCCGUG